This is an RNA transcript of Nasonia vitripennis (jewel wasp), 1239 nucleotides long. It is a transcript of the gene named odorant receptor 221, with no coding region annotated. The record is from RefSeq and is marked inferred. NCBI's taxonomy places the organism in Eukaryota, Metazoa, Arthropoda, Insecta, Hymenoptera, Pteromalidae. The transcript has 5 exons.
AGCGCUGGGCAGUCUCGCUCGUUUUACCAAAUGCGAGGAGCGAUGUCGGCGGAACCGAAGGAUCUGCGCGAAAGCUUCACCUUUCUGUCGAUCUCCUCGUCGCAUCUGAUCUUCAUGCGAAUGUUUUCGUAUCUGCCGCUGAAGGGCAAAAGUUUUUCUCACCCGUUAAGCCGAUUGCUUCAGCUCUGGAACCACUUCGCCGUCUUCGGCUUCAACGCGAUGUGGCAGGGAUACGGGAUUCGCAUGAUACAACGUGGUGACGUGGAGGUGGACUUUUUGUGUGAGGAUAUAAUCACAAUCGGUUUCACCAUACGCUACAUCGUGAUGCGCAUAAAGCGCGAGCAACUCUGUCGCCUCGUCGAGUCCUGCGAAAAGCUCUGGGACCUUCUCGAGGACGGCGAGGCCGUGUUCGUGCGUAAGUUCGAGCGUAAAGGUUACUACUUCAGGACCUUCAUUCUGUGCAACGCGUUGUUGAUGGCCGGGUCGUACAGCAUAGCGGCGCCUUUCGUCAGGCUGCCGCCCUUAGAAGCCAACGGCACCGAGAGGAAGAUCCUACCGUUCAGGUUUUUCAUGGACGUUCAGGAGGAACCGGCGUACAGUAUAGUGUUUGUGUUGCAGUCCAUCGCCCUUCAGUUUCUUGACUUUAUGAUGGUCAUGACAGAGACGAUUUCGCUCUACCUGAUCAUGAUGGCUUGUGGGUAUCUGCGCUCGGUUAGAAACCGAUUGUUGAAUCUCAAAGGAAGCGAUAGUGAUCCGAGUGAGAAGGGCGAAGCUGCGCUCAAGGCCGUUGUCGGAUGUGCGCACUUCCAUCAGCAGAUCAUGAUAUACUGCGAGGACUUAAGCAAGAUGACGGAGACGCUUUUUCUCAUCAGCUGCUUCUGUCCCAUCUACAACGUGUCCGUCACGUGUCUCGUGAUUCUCAACACCGAAGAAGACAACUUGAAGUUCGUACCACUUAUGCUCUACAAUUUCUUCCAAUUCUUCCUCUGCCAGUGGGCCCCCGAGCACCUAACCGUAGAAAAGCCGCUUACUUUGCGAGCUUGCAACCGCAAGCGCCGAGUCACCGGGAGAAGAUCAAUCGAAUACUGUACUACAUGAUGAUGAGGGCUCAGAAGCCGGUGCAAUUGACAGCUGGUGGGUUCGCUCCUUUGUCCAUCAAAACAUUUGGUGCGAUGACAAAGAAUGCAUUCUCCUUCUUCAUGGUCUUGCGAAACUUUAAGAAUUGAGAAGACGUGUUCU